This 215-nucleotide ribosomal RNA is filed under the name Glomeromycotina sp. RNAcentral's name for it is "partial small subunit ribosomal RNA". The record is from RNAcentral. Lineage: Eukaryota; Fungi; Glomeromycota.
GGGUCAGUAGGUUGGUCGUGCCACCGGUACGUACUGGUCUCACUGAUUCCUCCUUCCUGAAGAACCGUAAUGCCAUUAAUUUGGUGUUGCGGGGAAACAGGACUGUUACUUUGAAAAAUUAGAGUGUUUAAAGCAAGCUAACGCUUGAAUACAUUAGCAUGGAAUAAUGAAAUAGGACGAUCGAUCCUAUUUUGUUGGUCUCUAGGAUUGACGUA